AACCGCAGUAUUUCAUGCUUCUACUUGACUCUCAGAUAUGAAGUGCACCCCACCAGUGUCGGCUCUAGACUUGGCGAGGCCUUAGGCGAAACUCAUACAUGAGGCCCCAACUAACACCAUUAUUGGAAACAAAUAGCAGUUGACUUGUGUGUGUAUAAGAAGCUGUAGAUAUAUUGAAAUGGGAGCUUGCAGCACUAGAUAUAGAGAACUAGUCUUUGUGUACAUCGUUGCAUUGUCUACCUGUGUGUGCCUGAGAGUGUGUGUCUGGCACUG
Pelobates cultripes (western spadefoot toad) is the source of this 273-nucleotide non-coding RNA. Lineage: Eukaryota; Metazoa; Chordata; Amphibia; Anura; Pelobatidae. The record is from the annotation of a GenBank genome assembly.